RNAcentral lists this unclassified non-coding RNA (221 nucleotides) under Hevea brasiliensis (rubber tree). The record is from RNAcentral. Lineage: Eukaryota; Viridiplantae; Streptophyta; Magnoliopsida; Malpighiales; Euphorbiaceae.
CGCGUGGAAAUUCUUCUAAAGUUGACGAGUCAAAACUUGACGAGUCAAAAUUAAAGAAUGACCAAUCAAAAUCUGCCAAGGAAAGAUCGAGUGUUGAAAAGUCAAAUUCAAGAGAGGUUGAAAGACUUGAGUGGGCUGCCAAGAAAGAAACUCUUCCUAGGGUUUCUUGUGUUUAUGUGAACAAAGUUCUAAUGCAACAAGGUGUUCUAAAAGAUAGCAAG